UACGAAGGGGGCUAGCGUUGUUCGGAAUCACUGGGCGUAAAGCGCACGUAGGCGGAUUUUUAAGUCAGGGGUGAAAUCCCGGGGCUCAACCUCGGAACUGCCUUUGAUACUGGAGAUCUUGAGUCCGGAAGAGGUAAGUGGAACUGCGAGUGUAGAGGUGAAAUUCGUAGAUAUUCGCAAGAACACCAGUGGCGAAGGCGGCUCACUGGCCCGGUACUGACGCUGAGGUGCGAAAGCGUGGGGAGCAAACAGG
Molecule: ribosomal RNA, 253 nt
Filed under: uncultured bacterium
Lineage: Bacteria
Description: partial 16S ribosomal RNA
Rfam family: Bacterial small subunit ribosomal RNA
Source: RNAcentral